UGCAAGUCGAACGAUGACUAUCUAGCUUGCUAGAUAUGAUUAGUGGCGGACGGGUGAGUAACAUUUAGGAAUCUGCCUAGUAGUGGGGGAUAGCUCGGGGAAACUCGAAUUAAUACCGCAUACGACCUACGGGUGAAAGGGGGCGCAAGCUCUUGCUAUUAGAUGAGCCUAAAUCAGAUUAGCUAGUUGGUGGGGUAAAGGCCCACCAAGGCGACGAUCUGUAACUGGUCUGAGAGGAUGAUCAGUCACACCGGAACUGAGACACGGUCCGGACUCCUACGGGAGGCAGCAGUGGGGAAUAUUGGACAAUGGGGGCAACCCUGAUCCAGCCAUGCCGCGUGUGUGAAGAAGGCCUUUUGGUUGUAAAGCACUUUAAGCAGGGAGGAGAGGCUAAUGGUUAAUACCCAUUAGAUUAGACGUUACCUGCAGAAUAAGCACCGGCUAACUCUGUGCCAGCAGCCGCGGUAAUACAGAGGGUGCGAGCGUUAAUCGGAAUUACUGGGCGUAAAGCGAGUGUAGGUGGCUCAUUAAGUCACAUGUGAAAUCCCCGGGCUUAACCUGGGAACUGCAUGUGAUACUGGUGGUGCUAGAAUAUGUGAGAGGGAAGUAGAAUUCCAGGUGUAGCGGUGAAAUGCGUAGAGAUCUGGAGGAAUACCGAUGGCGAAGGCAGCUUCCUGGCAUAAUAUUGACACUGAGAUUCGAAAGCGUGGGUAGCAAACAGGAUUAGAUACCCUGGUAGUCCACGCCGUAAACGAUGUCUACUAGCCGUUGGGGUCCUUGAGACUUUAGUGGCGCAGUUAACGCGAUAAGUAGACCGCCUGGGGAGUACGGCCGCAAGGUUAAAACUCAAAUGAAUUGACGGGGGCCCGCACAAGCGGUGGAGCAUGUGGUUUAAUUCGAUGCAACGCGAAGAACCUUACCUGGUCUUGACAUAGUGAGAAUCCUGCAGAGAUGCGGGAGUGCCUUCGGGAA
RNAcentral lists this ribosomal RNA (972 nucleotides) under Faucicola osloensis. RNAcentral describes it as "bacterial SSU rRNA". It matches the Rfam family "Bacterial small subunit ribosomal RNA", at positions 56 to 1026 of the family's 1533-position model. The record is from RNAcentral. Lineage: Bacteria; Pseudomonadati; Pseudomonadota; Gammaproteobacteria; Moraxellales; Moraxellaceae.